UAGGGAAUCUUGCGCAAUGGGCGAAAGCCUGACGCAGCCAUGCCGCGUGAAUGAUGAAGGUCUUAGGAUUGUAAAAUUCUUUCACCGGGGAAGAUAAUGACGGUACCCGGAGAAGAAGCCCCGGCUAACUUCGUG
Molecule: ribosomal RNA, 135 nt
Filed under: uncultured bacterium
Lineage: Bacteria
Description: partial 16S ribosomal RNA
Rfam family: Bacterial small subunit ribosomal RNA
Source: RNAcentral